This 395-nucleotide ribosomal RNA is filed under the name uncultured bacterium. RNAcentral describes it as "bacterial SSU rRNA". It matches the Rfam family "Bacterial small subunit ribosomal RNA", at positions 521 to 916 of the family's 1533-position model. The record is from RNAcentral.
UAAUACGUAGGACCCGAGCGUUGUCCGGAUUUACUGGGUAUAAAGGGUGCGCAGGCGGCCGUGUGCGUCAGAGGUGAAAUCUCCGGGCUUAACCCGGAGGGUGCCUUUGAUACGGCAUGGCUUGAGUCCGAGAGAGGGUGAUGGAAUUCCUGGUGUAGCAGUGAAAUGCGUAGAUAUCAGGAGGAACACCGGUGGCGAAGGCGGUCACCUGGCUCGGCACUGACGCUCAGGCACGAAAGCGCGGGGAUCAAACAGGAUUAGAUACCCUGGUAGUCCGCGCCCUAAACGAUGUAUGCUUGGUGUUGGGUUUUUCGGAACUCAGUGCCGUAGGGAAUCCGGUAAGCAUACCACCUGGGGAGUACGAUCGCAAGGUUGAAACUUAAAUGAAUUGACGG